Molecule: long non-coding RNA, 20614 nt
Filed under: Triticum aestivum (bread wheat)
Lineage: Eukaryota; Viridiplantae; Streptophyta; Magnoliopsida; Poales; Poaceae
Description: long non-coding RNA (TAES_LNC021779)
Source: RNAcentral
CUAAUUGUUGAUGGCCUUACGAGCCAGUACAGCCAAAAUAAGCAGGAUGCAAGAAUAACAAAAGGUUGAACAAGCGAUAUGGCUCUGAAUGUGGUUUAGUUUCCUUUCCAGCAAUGAAAGAAAACCCAAUUCCAUACUUGUUAUAUCGAAAUCUAGCUAAGGAUUCUCCCCAUACAAAGCAAGUCUAGUGUACUUAACAAAGACAUUCAGCAUAUACUAAUGCAGGCAGAUAGACCAUAAUUUAUAACAAGCAACAAUGUCAUCACACAUUGCACCAUCCAGAAGCUAAUUAAGCAAAAUGGCACAUUCACAUAAGAAUGUCUAGAUAGUAUGCUUGCAAAAAGAGGCAAAACUAAGAUGAUACAACCACCAGCGUUUGUUUGUGAGGCAAAACUAAGAUGAUACAGCCACCCGCGUUUGUUUGCGAGUCCCAUUUCCGCCUUAGCUAACUAAGGGGAGCCGCCUGAGCCUCUGGAGGAGGUGCCGCCAGUGCCCGGAGGAGGCUGGUCCGGUUCGUUGCUCUCCUGCAGUGCCCGCUUGGCCAGCACAACCUCGACAGCCAGCUUCGCUGUGGAGUCAAGCUUGGCAUUGAAGUCCUUCUCAAGCUUAGCGAUCUUCUUCUGGAACAGGGCAUCUGCAGCCUUGAGGUUGUCAUCUCUUGAGUGGGCGCUCACUACGUUCAUCACCCCAAAAGCUACCGCAGAAGCGCCCAGGAGGACGGUACAGGCAACUUUCCAUGUGUUCUUCUUGAUCUGUAGAAGACACUGGACGUGCUGCUUGUCCACCUUGAUGUCGCGUGCGGCUGAUGCGACCGCAAGAGCCCGGAUCUGGUCAGAUGAAGUGCCGCAGAUUGUUCAGCCCGGCCUGGACCUCCUUGUACUGGUCGAACGAGGCCUUGUCCAGCUUCAGCUCGAGCGUCACCAUCUUCUGAUCGAUCUCGACGAAGAUGCGCGCGGUCUGCCUCUCGUAGUCGACCUCGAGGCGGGCGACGCGCUCCUCCAGCUGGCGGACGGGAUGCGACCCCUCGAGGCCCUUGGCAGCGCCCGCCUCGAGGGAGCCGACGCGCUUCUCGAGCUCCGCGAGGCGCUGCUCCAUCUGCGGGGAAGCGCCGGUGUGGUGGCCGCGGCGGCGGAGGAACGCGCCGGCGAAACGGUAGCGGGCGGCAGCGGCAGCGGCGGGCGAGAUGGUGGGAGCCGCGGUCGCGGCGGCGAGGUGGCGGGGGAUGGUGGCGGUGGCGGCGGCGACGGCGAGGUGGCGGGGGAUGGUGGCGGCGGCGCGGCGCGCGAGGGCGGCGGCCAUGGUGGUGACCCUAGUCUAACCUAACUAAACGAUCUGCCACGAUCUGGGCUCGAGGCGUGGACCGAAACAUAUACACCGGUCACCGGAGCGCGGGGGUCGGGGCUGUCCACUGGGCCAGGUGGGCUUCGCUUAGAAGUGGGCCCUUUUCUAGUUCCAACAAUGUUCUAAAUUAGGGAGCAACUAAUUAACGAGCGCUCCUUCGGGAGCCUCGCAACGAUCAGCGCCACUUGACGUGCUGUCAGUCAUUCGCCACAUGUCGCGCUCUGGACGCUCCCUCCGGAUUUUUUUUUAUUUUUCCGCACGCGUUUUCGGCUUUUUUCCGUUUUUUUGACGUUUUGGUUUUCCACCGGUCUUUCCUAUGUUUUCGAUCACAAAUUUUUUUUAAAAAAAAUUUGCGCAAAAAAACACAUUUUUUCGCGAGAGGCACGGGCGUGCCUCUUGGAAAUGAAAAAAAACAUGUUUAUGUUUUUUUUCCUUUCGCGAGAGGCACGGAUUUGCUUCCGCAAGAGGCACGGUUGUGCUUUCGCGAGAGUCACGGCCGUGCCUCCUCGGAAACGGAAAAAAACACAUUUCUUUUUUUUUCUUUCGCGAGAGGCACGGUUGUGCUUUCGCGAGAGUCACGGCCGUGCCUCCUCCGAAACGGAAAAAACACAUUUCUUUUUUUUUCUUCCGCGAGAGGCACGAUUGUGCUUUCGCGAGAGGCACGGGCCUGCCUGUUUCGGAAAGGGAAAAACGCGUUUUCUGUUUUUUUUCUUUCGCGAGAGGCAUGGUUUUGCUUCCGCGAGAGGCACGGUUGUGAUUUCGUCAGAGGCACAGUCGUGCCUCUUUUGGAAAGGGAAAAAAACCCGUAUUCCCGGUUCGGUUUUUCGUCGGUUUUUUUCGUCCGAUUUUUUCAUGAAAAAAAAUGUUCGUCAAAACCUAUCAACAUAGGAUCUAGUUUUGAAGGUCUCGACGCGAGGAAUCCAACGGCGAAAGCGAUUCGAGAUUUGGAUGCACGGUUUAAGAGAUAAAACGUUUUGAAUAAACGGAUCUACAAAAAAGGGAAAACUCCCGGGUUACGCCAAGUGACGCACAUGCAGCGCGCCAUUUGUCGCAACCUGCGGAAGUUGGAGUGAUCUCCGCAAGGAGUACUCCUCAGUUAGUGAUUUCGUCUAAAUUACUGUAUAUGUUUUAUUAUAAGUCAAUCUUUUUAGACUUUGACCAAGUUUUUGUGAGAAUAAUCAACAUCUUCAUAUCGACUAAAUACACCAUGCAAACAUACUUUAGGAUAGAUCUAGUAAAGUUGAUAGAAUAAUAGAUAUGAACAACACAACAUUGUGUUGUGCAGAUACGCACACACCAAUGAUGAUGAUCAUAGGACACACACACAGAUAAACACAUCUAAUCUCAAAGUCAGAAUUACUUAACCAAGAUCUUCCAACCACUCUCACUUUAGUUAAACAUGUAUGUUUCUCUUCCCUCUUGUUGGUAGAAAAGAAAUAAACUUAAAUUAAAACAUGCUAAAACACACGAAAAGAACUCGGGAUAUUACAUUAGAAGCACUCGGAAAGAGGCCCAUAUGAGAGGCACUAUAGCCCAAAAUACAUUUCCAACAAAGACUAGACCAACAAAAAUACAAAGCCCACUCCGUCGUUGGACCAAAAAUAAAUGGGAAACAGAUAAUAUACUACACCAACUCCUGGGCCAACAAAGAACAAACCUGUUGACCUACUUAGAUAGACAAAAAUCAGUGAGUAAAAUUAACUCUUACACAGAUUUUUUAUGUUCUAGUUCCAAAAAUUACAUAUAUGACUAGGAUUUAACAAUUUCUUGGGCGACUAAGAAUUUGCAAAGCCAUUUUAGAUAUGGUCAAUUGCACACAAGAAAACACAUACGAUUUUAGUGUAUCAAAAAGUGCAAAGUGCAAUAUAAAUAAAUAACUACAAUCACGAAGAAAAUUAACAAGGUCUAUAAUAAUCAAACUCAAAGUCUUAAGUUUAAGUUUAAGCUAAACGUACGUAUAUACCUAUUUUUUAGUUACAUACUAUGUAAAUACAAAGAGAAAUUAAAUUAGAAAAAGAUUUUUUGUGUAGACAAAUACACAUUUAAUUCAAAGCUAGAUAGCAAAAGCUAUCGCACGAUGUUAGUACUAAAUCUGCACCAAGUAAAACUAUGAACCAUGAAAGUAAUAUGGUAGUUUGGUUACGUUCAUAAGUUGAUCUCCUUGUGCUACAAUACCUGUUACAUUCUUUUGGACUCUACAAAACAUAUUACAUUACAUACGGUAAUGUAUGAAAAUGGAGGUACGGAAAACAAGGAAUAAAAGCCUGCAGCAGAAAGAAGAUGGGCUUCCUGAAACAUUUGUUGUAAAUAUGAGCAAUUUACCGAAUGAUUUUAUUAACAAAAAUACUAGAUAUAGCAUGGUUAGUAUAGCAGUGAUAAAAUAAGCCAUGCGAUUUGACAAAGAGAAGGUAAACAACAUGUUCAUAUAUGAACCGUAACUAAACAUAAAAUAAGCCAUGCGAUUUGACAAAGAGAAGGUAAACAACAUGUUCAUAUAUGAACCGUAACUAAACAUAUCUAGAGCAGACAGUAUAGCAGGUUGCAUAUAUGAAAUAGAGUCUAACAUAUCUAUGGAAAAUACUAGAACAAGGAACUGUAGCAGAACCUCUAAUAGAAAGGGGAGAGACACGUACGUGACAACAGCAGGAGCAGAUGCACUGGACUUGGGGUCGGUGUCCUCCAUGUCGUCGAGGAGGUUGUCGACGUCGGGGAAGUAGUCGUCGGAGUUCGGGGCGUCCGUGACGAAGAAGUCAGUAGUCGCGCAGAGCGCUCCCCAAAAACCUUAUCACCCUUCUCCCGUACAUGACUCAAAAGGUGCGGUUUCGGAGGCCUACUGUCCCGACCUGCGGUGCACGCCGCAAGCCGGGAUGGGGAAGAUUGUAGCAGCGGCGCAGUGCUUAGGAACUGUGUGGCAAGAGGAAGAGGACCUUCUGAUGUGUCUCUCUGGAGAGGAGCGACCUCUCUUAUAUAGGCACAGGAGAGGGACGCGAACAGGCUGCGACGGGAGAUGAAGCAACGGAGGGAGACGAAGUGAACAGGCAGCACGCGAAGAGGUGCGCCGUUCGUAUUCAUUAUCCACUACCGCAAAACUUUUCAGCUCCCAAGUGACCUUUCGUAUACCCGUAGUACGUGGCAAAAAUUAGACAUCGGCUCGGCUCAUUCCCGCAACCCGCAACCCGCAACCCGCAGCGCAGCGCGUCGUGACGCGGCGUGGCGAGGCGGGCGGCGGAGGAGGAGCGCGCGUGGAUGUCCCUCUUGUUCUCAUGCUCAUACAAGUGGGGAAAAAACCUCCCUUACAAGGAGGUCCAACUCCCACUAAACUAGCAAUGUGGGAGUAAACUUUUGUAGUAUCCCUUGCCUUGCACAAAUGGGCUAAUUGGGCCUCCAACGUAUCUAUAAUUUUUGAUUGUUCCAUGCUAUUAUAUUACCCCUUUUGGAUAUUUAUGGGCUUUAUUUUACACAUUUAUAUCAUUUUUUUGGGACUAACCUAUUAACCAGAGGCCCAGCCCAGAAUUGCUGUUUUUGCCUAUUUCAGUGUUUCGAAGAAACAUAAUAUCAAACAGAGUCCAAACGGAAUGAAACCUUCGGGAACGUGAUUUUCUCACCGAACGUGAUCCGGGAGACUUGGACCCUGCUCCAAGGAACAAAAGAGGCGGUCACGAGGGUGGGGGGCACACCCCUGGGCGCGCCCCCUACCUCGUGGGCCCCCUAUUGCUCCACCGACGUACUCCUUCCUCCUAAUAUACCUACGUACCCCCGACAGAUCAAAAGGGGAGCCAAAAACCUAAUUCCACCGCCGCAACUUUCUGUAUCCACGAGAUCCCAUCUUGGGGCCUGUUCCGGAGCUCCGCCGGCGGGGGCAUCCACCACGGAGGGCUUCUACAUCAACACCAUAGCCCCUCCGAUGAAGUGUGAGUAGUUUACUUCAGACCUUCGGGUCCAUAGCUAGUAGCUAGAUGGCUUCUUCUCUAUUUUUGGAUCUCAAUACAAUGUUCUCCCCCUCUCUUGUGGAGAUCUAUUCGAUGUAAUCUUCUUUUUGCGGUGUGUUUGUUGAGACCGAUGAAUUGUGGGUUUAUGAUCCAGUUUAUCUAUGAAUAAUAUUUGAAUCUUCUCUGAAUUCUUUUAUGUAUGAUUGAGUUAUCUUUGCAAGUCUCUUUGAACUAUCUGUUUGGUUUGGUCGACUAGAUUGGUAGUUCUUGCAAUGGGAGAAGUGUUUAGCUUUGGGUUCAAUCUUGCGGUGUCCUUUCCCAGUGACAUAAGGGGCAGUAAGGCACGUAUUGUAUUGUUGCCAUCGAGGAUAACAAGAUGGGGUUUUUAUCAUAUUGCAUGAAUUUGUCCCUCUACAUCAUGUCAUCUUGCUUAAGACGUUACCCUAUUUUUAACUUAAUACUCUAGAUGCAUGCUGGAUAGCGGUCGAUGAAUGGAGUAAUAGUACUAGAUGCCGAAUCGUUUCGGUCUACUUGUCUUGGACGUGAUGCCUAUAUACAUGAUCAUACCUAGAUAUACUCAUAACUAUGCUUAAUUCUGUCAAUUGCUCAACAGUAAUUUGUUCACCCACCGUAGAAUACUUAUGCUCUUGAGAGAAGCCACUAGUGAAACCUAUGGCCCCCGGGUCUAUUCUCAUCAUAUCAAUCUCCAUUACUUUAAUACUUGCUUUGUUUUUACUUUGCCUUUUACUUUUUACUUUGCAUCUCUAUAUCAAAAAUACCAAAACAUAUUAUUAUCUCUCUAUCAGAUCUCACUUUUGCAAGAGGCCGUGAAGGGAUUGACAACCCCUUUAUCGCGUUGGUUGCGAGUUCUUAGUUUGUUUGUGUAGGUGCGUGGGAAUUUUGAGGAGCCUCCUACCGGAUUGAUACCUUGGUUCUCAAAACUGAUGGAAAUACUUACGCUACACUUUGCUACAUCACCCUCUCCUCUUCGAGGAAAACCAACGCAAGCUCAAGACUUAGCAAGAAGAAUUUCUGGCGCCAUUGCCGGGGAGGUCUUCGCUCAAGUCAAGACAUACCAAGUACCCAUCACAAACCCAUCUCUCUCACAUUUACAUUAUUUUCCUCUCGUUUUCCUCUCCCCCACUUCACCCUUGCCGUUUUAUUCGCCCUCUCUUUCCCAAUCUCCUCCUCUUUUUCCCGUUGCCUUUUUCCUCGUCCGUUUGUUUGCUCGUGUGUUAGUUUUCUUGCUUGUCGUCACGACUAGUCUCAUAUCUUCUCCGUUAUCUCCUGAGAAUGAAGUUCUAAAUUUUAAGCAAAGGGAGGGAGAAAAUCUAAAAGACGCUUGGUAUAGAAUUUGCAAUGCUCAAAAUAGAUUUACCAGGAAGCAAUCUACUUCAGUUCUUCUUCGUAGUUUUUACGUAGGUGCUAAUCCUUGGUAUAGAUUUAUCCUUGAUACCAUUACCGGAGGGAAUUUCUUGGGUAGUCAUACUUUUGAUUCUUAUAAUGCUUUAAUAGAUUUAUUUGUCUCACCACCUCUUUUGAUUAAUGGAACUAUGUUAACUUUGGAGCAUGUUAUGCAAAGACUUGAAAUUAUUGAGAAUAAAGUUGCUACCAUUGAAUUAAUUGAAAAUCUUGAUAAAAAGAUCCACAAUCAAAUUACCCAAUAUGGAUCUAAGGUAGGAAUGACUUUGAAAAAUAUUAAAGAAAAAGAACCCAUAGUUAAUGAGAAAAUAAAUCUAGAUUCCACAAGAAUCGAUAAACUUGAGGGUAUCAUUACCAAUUUGGGAACCGCUUUUUCUUCCGUACAAAACACUCCAAGUUCGUCUAUUAAAAAUACUAAGCUUAUUUAUGUUCCUAAGAAUAAGGGUGAAUCAUCUAGUAAGGAGACUGCAGAUCUUAAAUCUAUAAGUGUUCAUCCCAAUCUUUUUGCCUUCAUUAAGGAACCAUUUGCUAUGAAGGAAUUUUUCGAUCUUGUGCUGAAGAAUUUGAUAAUUACUAGAAAGGAAGAAAUUUCUAAGAAAUAUAGAUGCCUCAUUGAAGAAUUGCCUACCAAAGAUGGAAAUACCUAAAUCUAUCCUUGCUUUUAUGCCUAGCUAGGGGCGUUAAACAAUAGCGCUAGUUGGGAGGCAACCCAAUUUUUCUUUUUAUUUUUUUAUUUUUGCUUCUGUUUAGGAAUAAAUAAUCCAUCUAGCCUCUGUUUAGAUGUGGUUUUAUGUUUUAAUUAGUGUUUGUGCCAAGUAGAACCUAUAGGAUAACCUACGAUGAUAGUUGAUUUGAUUCUUCUGAAAACCAUAAACUUUGCGCGCACGAAUAUAAUUUUGUUAAAUCACAGGAACGUGAUUUUGCAUUGAUGCUUUUUGCUUCUGUUCAAUAGACAAAUUGUCCAGGACUUCCUAUUUUGGUAGGAUUUUUAGAGUUACAGAAGGUUGCGUUAGUUAAAGAUUGCUACAGACUGUUCUGUUUUUGACAGAUUCUGUUUUCCGUGUGUUGUUUGCUUAUUUCAAUGCAUCUAUGGCUAGUAAAUUAGUUUAUGAACCAUAAAGAAGUUGGAAUACAGUAGGUUUAACACCAAAAUAAAUAAAGAAUGAGUUCAUGGCAGUACCUUAUGUGGUGGUUUUGUUUUCUUUCACUAACGGAGCUUACAAGAUUUCCUGUUGAGUUUUGUGUUGUGAAGUUUUCAAGUUUUGGGUAUAAUAAAAACUAUCAUAGGAAGUGAAUUGGAUGCUAUGAUCAACUUGAUACUUGAUAAUUGUUUUGAGAUAUGGAGGUAGUGAUAUUAAAGUCAUGCUAGUUGGGUGAUUAUGAAUGCAAAGAAUGCUUGUGUCGAAGUUAGCAAAUCCCUUAGCAUGCACGUAUGGUUAAAGUUGUGUAACAAAUUUGAAAUAUGAAGUGUACUUGGCGUGUGCAUCCUUAUGAGUGGCGAUCGGGGACGAGCGAUGGUCUUUUCCUACCAAUCUAUCCCCCUAGGAGCAUGUGUGUAGUAAUUGAUUUUUGAUGACUUCUAAAUUUUUGCAAUAAGUAUAUGAGUUCUUUUGACUAAUGUUGAGUCCAUGGAUUAUACGCACUUUUACCUUUCCACCUUUGCUAGCCUCUAUGGUACCGUGCAUUGCCCUUUCUCACCUUGAGAGUUGGUGCAAACUUCGCCGGUGCAUCCAAACCCCGUGAUACGAUACGCCCUAGCACACAUAAACCUCCUUAUAUCUUCCUCAAAACAGCCACCAUACCUACCUAUUAUGGCAUUUCCAUAGCCAUUCCGAGAUAUAUUGCCAUGCAACUUUCCACCGUUCCGUUCUUCAUGUUCAUGACAUACUUUACUUUUGUCAUAUUGCCAUUGCAUGAUCAUGUAGUUGACAUCGUAUUUGUGGCAAAGCCACCUUGCACUAUUUUUCAUACAUGUCACUCUUGAUUCAUUGCACCAUCCCGGUACACCGCCGGAGUCAUUCAUAUAGAGUCAUAUCUUGUUCUAGUUUCGAGUUGUAAUUCUUAUGUUGUAAUCAAUAGAAGUGUGAUGAUCAUCAUUAUUAGAACAUUGCCCAAAGAAAAAAAAAAGAAAGGCCAAAAAAAAGAAGGGAAAGGCCCAAAAAAAAGGGCAAUGUUACUAUCUCUUUUUCCACACUUGUGCUUCAAAGCAACACCUUGUUCUUCAUGUAGUGAGUCUCAUAUCUUGUGCUUCAAAGUAGAACCUUGUUUUUCAUGUAGUGAGUCUCAUAAGUUGUGUUUUUCAUACUAGUGGGAAUUUUUCAUUAUAGAACUUGGCUUGUAUAUUCCUACGAUGGGCUUCCUCAAAUGACCUAGGUCUUCAUGAGAAAGCAAGUUGUGUGCACACCCACUAGUUUUUCUUGUUGAUCAUUUGUAGCUCUAGUGCAUCCGUUGCAUGGCAAUCCCUACUCCUCAUGUUGACAUCAAUUGAUGGGCAUCUCCAUAGCCCGUUGAUUAUCCUCGUCAAUAUGAGACUUUCUCUUUUUUUGUCUUCUCCACACAAUCCCCAUCAUCAUACUCUAUUCCACCCAUAGUGCUAUAUCCAUGGCUCGCGCUCAUGUAUUGUGUGAAGGUUGAAAAAGUUUGAGAUUAUUUAAGUAUGAAACAAUUGCUUGGCUUGUCAUCGGGGGUAUAGAAGCUGGGAACAUCUUUGUGUGACGAAAAUAAAGCAUAGCCUAACUAUAUGAUUUUGUAGGGAUGAACUUUCUUUUGCCAUGUUAUUUUGAGAAGACAUGAUUACUUUGAUCAGUGUGCUUGAAGUGUUACUAUUUUUUAUGUCAAUAUGGACUUUUAUUUUGUAUUAAUUUGGAUCUGAACAUUCAUGCCACAACGAAGAAAAUUACAUUAUGAAUUAUGCUAGGUAGCAUUCCACAUCAAAAUUUCUCUUUUUAUCAUUUACCUACUCGAGGACGAGCAGGAAUUAAGCUUGGGGAUGCUUGAUACGUCUCCAACGUAUCUAUAUUUUUGAUUGUUCCAUGCUAUUAUAUUACCCCUUUUGGAUGUUUAUGGGCUUUAUUUUACACAUUUAUAUCAUUUUUUGGGACUAACCUAUUAACCAGAGGCCCAACCCAGAAUUGUUGUUUUUGCCUAUUCCAGUGUUUCAAAGAAACAUAAUAUCAAACGGAGUCCAAACGGAAUGAAACCUUCGGGAACGUGAUUUUCUCACCGAAUGUGAUCCAGGAGACUUGGACCCUGCUCCAAGGAACAAAAGAGGCGGUCACGUGGGUGGGGGGCGCCCCCCUGGCGCGCCCCCUACCUCGUGGGCCCCCUGUUGCUCCACCGACGUACUCCUUCCUCCUAUAUAUACCUACGUACCCCCGACAGAUCAAAAGGGGAGCCAAAAACCUAAUACCACCGCCGCAACUUUCUGUAUCCACGAGAUCCCAUCUUGGGGCCUAUUCUGGAGCUCCGCCGGAGGGGGCAUCCAGCACGGAGGGCUUCUACAUCAACACCAUAGCCCCUCCGAUGAAGUGUGAGUAGUUUACUUCAGACCUUCGGGUCCAUAGCUAGUAGCUAGAUGGCUUAUUCUCUAGUUUUGGAUCUCAAUACAAUGUUCUCCCCCUCUCUUGUGGAGAUCUAUUCGAUGUAAUCUUCUUUUUGCGGUGUGUUUGUUGAGACCGAUGAAUUGUGGGUUUAUGAUCCAACUUAUCUAUGAAUAAUAUUUGAAUCUUCUCUGAAUUCUUUUAUGUAUGAUUGAGUUAUCUUUGCAAGUCUCUUCGAAUUAUCCGUUUGGUUUGGCCGACUAGAUUGGUAGUUCUUGCAAUGGGAGAAGUGUUUAGCUUUGGGUUCAAUCUUGCGGUGUCCUUUCCCAGUGACAGAAGGGGCAGCAAGGCACGUAUUGUAUUGUUGCCAUCGAGGAUAACAAGAUGGGGUUUUUAUGAUAUUGCAUGAAUUUAUCCCUCUACAUCAUGUCAUCUUGCUUAAGGCGUUACUCUGUUUUUAACUUAAUACUCUAGAUGCAUGCUGGAUAGCGCUCGAUGAGUGGAGUAAUAGUAGUAGAUGCAGAAUCGUUUCGGUCUACUUGUCUUGGACGUGAUGCCUAUAUACAUGAUCAUACCUAGAUAUACUCAUAACUAUGCUCAAUUCUGUCAAUUGCUCAACAGUAAUUUGUUCACCCACCGUAGAAUACUUAUGCUCUUGAGAGAAGCCACUAGUGAAACCGAUGCCCCCUAGGUCUAUUCUCAUCAUAUGAAUCUCCAUUACUUUUAUACUUGCUUUGUUUUUACUUUGCCUUUUACUUUUUACUUUGCAUCUCUAUAUCAAAAAUACCAAAAAUACAUUAUUAUCUCUAUCAGAUCUCACUUUCGCAAGAGGUCGUGAAGGGAUUGACAACCCCUUUAUCGCGUUGGUUGCGAGUUCUCAGUUUGUUUGUGUAGGUGCGUGGGACUUUUGAGGAGCCUCCUACUGGAUUGAUACCUUGGUUCUCAAAACUGAGGGAAAUACUUACGCUACUCUUUGCUGCAUCACCCUCUCCUCUUCGAGGAAAACCAACGCAAGCUCAAGACGUAGCAAGAAGAAUUUCUGGCGCCGUUGCCGGGGAGGUCUUCGCUCAAGUCAAGACAUACCAAGUACCCAUCACAAACCCAUCUCUCUCGCAUUUACAUUAUUUGCCUCUCGUUUUCCUCUCCCCCACUUCAUCCUUGCCGUUUUAUUCGCCCUCUCUUUCCAAAUCUUCUCCUCUUUUUCCCGUUGCCUUUUUCCUCGUCCGUCUGUUUGCUCACGUGUUAGUUUGCUUGCUUGUCGUCAUGACUAGUCUCAUAUCUUCUCCUUUAUCUACCGAGAAUGAAGUUCUAAAUUUUAAGCAAAGGGAGGGAGAAAAUCUAAAAUACGCUUGGUAUAGAAUUUGCAAUGCUCAAAAUAGAUCUACCAGGAAGCAAUCUACUUCAGUUCUUGUUCGUAAUUUUUACGUAGGUGCUAAUCCUUGGUAUAGAUUUAUCCUUGAUACCAUUACCGGAGGUAAUUUCUUGGGUAGUCAUACUUUUGAUUCUUAUAAUGCUUUAAUAGAUUUAUUUGGCUCACCACCUUGAGGGAGUCCUAGAUUAGGGGGUGUCCGGAUAGCCGAACUAUCACCAUUGGCCGGAAUCCUGGACUAUGAAGAUACAAGAUUGAGGACUUCGUCCCGUGUCCGGAUGGGACUUUGCUUGGCGUGGAAGGCAAGCUUGGCGAUACGGAUAUGUAGAUCUCCUACCAUUGUAACCGACUCUGUGUAACCCUAACCCACUCCGGUGUCUAUAUAAACCGGAGGGUUUUAGUCCGUAGGACGAACAACAAUCAUACCAUAGGCUAGCUUCUAGGGUUUAGCCUCUUUGAUCUCGUGGUAGAUCUACUCUUGUACUACCCAUAUCAUCAAUAUUAAUCAAGCUGGAGUAGGGUUUUACCUCCAUCGAGAGGGCCCGAACCUGGGUAAAAACAUCGUGCCCCUUGUCUCCUGUUACCAUCCGCCUAGACGCACAGUUCGGGACCCCCUACCCGAGAUCUGCCGGUUUUGACACCGACAUUGGUGCUUUCAUUGAGAGUUCCUCUGUGUCGUCACUUUUAGGCCCGAUGGCUCCUUCGAUCAUCAACAACGACGCGGUCCAGGGUGAGACUUUUCUCCCCGGAUAGAUCUUCGUAUUCGGCGGCUUUGCACUGCGGGCCAAUUCACUUGGUCAUCUGGAGCAGAUCGAAAGCUACGCCCCUGGCCAUCAGGUCAGAUUUGGGAGUUUGAACUACAGGGCUGACAUCCGCGGAGACUUGAUCUUCGACGGAUUCGAGCCACAGCCAAGCGCGCUGCACUGUCUCGAUGGGUAUGAUCUAGCUCUGCCGCCGAACAAUGCCCUGGAGGCUGCACCAGUGUCUGCUCCGACCCUUAGCUCAGAGCCGACUUCGCCGAUCGAGGACGAGUGGCUGGACACCGCCUCGGGGGCUACGAUCUCUACGGCGAUUGAGCCGAACACCAUCCCUGUCCUUUGCAAAGCCCGUGACUCUGAGGUGCCGGACUCCUCUCCGGACUCCGAACCUCCCGCGCCCCUGCCAAUCAAAUCCGAUUGGGCGCCGCUUAUGGAGUUCACUGCCGCGGACAUCUUUCAGCACUCGCCCUUUGGCGACAUCCUGAAUUCACUAAAGUCUCUCUUUAUCAGGAGAACCCUAGCCGGACUAUGGUCAGGAAGGUUGGGAUGCGGACGAUGAAGAAAUUCUACACCCACCCACCACCCACUUUGUAGCCACUGUCGAUGAUUUAACCGACAUGCUCGACUUCGACUCCGAAGACAUCGACGGUAUGGACGACGAUGCAGGAGACAACCAAGAACCAGCGCCUACAUGGCACUGGAAGGCCACCUCGUCAUACGACAUAUACAUGGUGGACAUCCCAAAAGAUGGGAAUGGCAAUGGAACAGUGGAGGAUGACCCCUCCAAGAAACAGCCCAAGCUCCAGCGUCAGCGGCGCCGCUCUAAAUCCCGCCACAACAAAAACGGUGAUUCUGGCACGGGAGAUAAUAACACCCCAGACAGUGCCGAAGACAACUCCCUCCAGCAGGAUUCAGCACAGGAGGAGGGAGAAGCCAGCCCUCAUUAUAGAGCGGCAGACAGAGAGGUAGAGGACAAUAAUUAUAUGCCUCGCUCCGAAGAUGAAGCAAGCCUCGACGAUGAUGAAUUUGUCGUGCCCGAGGAUCCCGUCGAACAAGAGCGUUUCAAGCGCAGGCUUAUGGCCACGACAAGCAGCCUCAAGAAAAAGCAGCAGCAGCUUAGAGCUGACCAAGCCUUGCUAACUGACAGAUGGACCGAAGUCCUUACAACCGAAGAGUACAAACUCGAUCGCACCUCCAAGAGCUACCCAAAACGCAGGCUGCUACCCCAAUUAGAGGAGGAAGCACCCAAACCUACAUCACUAGCGCAUGACGCGGCCGACCGGCCACCUCGUGGCUGCGACAGAGAGGCCUCUAGAAAAGUACAAAGCCACGGGAAAAUGCGCCAGACUUGCGAGACAUAUUGGAGGACAAGGCAAGGCAAAUAAAAUCGAUCUACGGAUCGUGUGGGCACCUCACGACACGUGAUGACAACCGUCACGCCGGAUACAGCAAUUCCGGCCGGGCUGAACAUAGUAGACAAAGAUCAUUUGAGUUGCGUCAUGAUAUAGCCCAAUACAGAGGCGCCGCACACCCACUAUACUUCACAGACGAAGUAAUGAAUCAUCAAAUCCCCGAGGGUUUCAAACCCGUAAACAUUGAAUCAUACGACGGCACAACAGAUCCUGUGGUUUGCAUCGAGGACUAUCUCCUUCACAUCCACAUGGCCCGCGGUGAUGAUCUACACGCCAUGAAAUACCUCCCACUCAAGCUUAAAGGACCAGCUCGGCAUUGGCUCAACAGCUUGCCAGCAGAAUCAAUUGGUUGUUGGGAAGACCUGGAAGCCGCAUUCCUUGAUAACUUCCAGGGCACAUAUGUGCGACCACCAGACGCUGACGACCUAAGCAAAAUAAUUCAGCAGCCAGAUGAAUCGGCCAGACAAUUCUGGACAUGGUUCUUAACCAAGAAAAAUCAAAUCGUUGACUGUCCGGAUGCAGAGGCCCUUGCAGCCUUCAAACAUAACAUCCGCGACGAGUGGCUUGCCAGGCACCUAGGACAGGAAAAGCCGAAAUCCAUGGCAGCCCUCACAUCACUCAUGACCCGCUUCUGCGCGGGAGAGGACAGCUGGCUAGCUCGCAGUUACAACCUGACCAAAAACCCUGGUAGUUCGGAUACCAAGGACAACAAUGACAGGUCGUGUCGCAACAAGCACAAGCGCCGCAUUAACGGUGAUAAUGCUGAAGAUACGACAGUCAAUGCCGGAUUCAGAGGCUCUAAACCCGGUCAGCGGAAAAAGCCAUUCAAAAGAAAUACUCAGGGCCCGUCCAAUUUGGACCGAAUACUCGAUCGCUCGUGCCAGAUACAUGGCACCCCCGAAAAACCAGCCAACCACACCUACAGGGAUUGUUGGGUGUUCAAGCAGGCAGGCAAGUUAAAUGCCGAAAACAACGACAAGGGGCUGCAUAGCGAUGACGAGGAGGAGCCCCGGCCGCCGAACAAUAGAGGACAGAAGGAUUUUCCCCCACAAGUGCGGACGGUGAACAUGAUAUACGCAACCCACAUACCCAAAAGGGAGUGGAAGCGUGCACUAAGGGACGUAUACGCGAUGGAGCCAGUCGCCCCAAAGUUCAACCCGUGGUCCUCCUGCCCGAUCACUUUUGAUCGUAGGGACCACCCCACUAGCAUCCGCCACGGCGGAUUCGCCGCAUUGGUUCUUGACCCAAUCAUUGACGGAUUUCACCUCACUAGAGUCCUGAUGGACGGCGACAGCAGCCUGAACCUGCUUUACCAGGAUACAGUGCACAAAAUGGGCAUAGACCCCUCAAGGAUUAAACCCACAAAAAAGACCUUUAAAGGUGUCAUACCAGGUGUAGAGGCCAACUGUAUAGGCUCAGUUACACUCAAAGUGGUCUUCGGAUCCCCGGAUAACUUCUGAAGCGAGGAAUUAAUCUUUGACAUAGUCCCGUUCCGCAGCGGCUAUCACGCACUGCUCGGACGAACCGCAUUUGCAAACUUCAAUGCGGUGCCGCACUAUGCAUACCUCAAGCUCAAGAUGCCAGGCCCUCGAGGAGUAAUCACGGUCAAUGGAAACACCGAACGCUCUCUCCGAACGGAGGAGCAUACGGCGGCCCUCGUGGCGGAAGUACAAAGCAGCCUCUUAAGGCAAUUCUCGAGUCCGACUACUAAAUGUCUGGACACCGUCAAGCGCGCCCGAAGUAACAUACAACAAGACCGCCUGGCAUGUUCCGAGCACACGUAGCAAUGCGUCCCCAACCCCAGCCCUCGCGAAAUCGCGAGACUAGUACCACGCGUACAUAACUACGCUCUGGAGAUACCAUGGGCAUAGUGGGAGGGGCACGACCACGGCAUGCCCAGAGUGCGGCUCAACCGCACCAGGGGCUCCCAAUUGUGUAAUUCUUUUUUUUUCUUUCUUAUUCUCAGGACUCCGUUUUCCAGAAGCCCUAUCCGGCAGUAGAAUCGCCGAACUCAUGAUGCAACAACUAGGGAAGCAGAAAAGCUACGUCGAGUGUCCAGGUGCACUACUAGGGAAAAGCCUAGCAGUAGCGCGGGUUUUGGGCCUAUUAGUAGCGCGGGGGCCGGCGCUACUAAUAAGACGCUACAGCUAACUUAUAGCAGUAGCACGGGUGCCACCCACGCUACUACUACGUCCUUUAAUAGUAGCGUGGGUAAAAACCCGCGCUACUACUACCAACGCGGGUUUUUUUUGAUUUUUUUCGAAAAAAUAUUUCAAUUUUUUCCCUAUUUUUCAAAUUUUUGAAUUAUUUUAACCUCAAAUCUCUAAUCACCCCUCAUCACGGCUCAAUUUAAUCUCUAAUCACCCCUCAUCAUUCCAAAUCAUCUAACUUCCCGGACGGUCACCCAUCCUCUCACUACUCCAGCCCGAGCACGCUUAACUUCCGGGUUCUAUUCUCCCUCGUUUCCAAGUCUGCACUUGUUGUUUUCCUAACAAUAGUAAGAUGUCAAUCCUAUUAACCUCAGGAAUUUAGCUUGAGCAUGAAGUCACACAUUUCACUAUUUGAGUUUGAAACUAUUGUUCCAAAAAAAUUAGUAACACUAAUAUUUCUUGAAUAAUUAGUUUGACCACAGUUUGGCCACAGUUUGACCACAGUUUGACCACAGUUUGGCCAUAGUUUGACCACAGUUUGGCCACAGUUUGGCCAGAUUUAGUAACACAAAUAUUCUAGAAUAAUUAGUUUGACCAUUGUUUGACCACACAGUUUGAAAUUUUUUCGAUUUUUUCCACUCUAGAUCUUAAAAGCCCCGUAACUUUUUUUCUGUUUGGUUUUUGAGGAUUUUGAAAAUGUUUAACGGGGUUUCCCCGGUUAAAUUCGGAUGUAACUUUUCGAGUAGAUGAUUUUUCAUAUAAAAAACUUUUUCAUCCGAGUUAGUAUGCAAAAGUUAUGCCCAUUUUUACAAAUUCUCGAGAGAUUUUGCAAAUAAAGUCGAAAUUCAUAUUUGCAAAUUUUCCCAACAACUAGAGCACAUAUCACAUGGGAAACUUAUUUUCUUUUAUUUUUUUGACAUUUUCAUCAUUUUCUUUUAUUUUUUUAAAACUAAAAAGGCGAUCCACAAGGGGGGGGGGGUAGAGUUUGAAAAUGGGACCUUUAGUAGCAGCGUGGUUUUUUACCCCCUCGCUGCUACUAUGGCACCACUUAGUAGUAGCGAGGGCUAAAAACCAACGCUACUGCUAGCAAACUUAGUAGUAGCGCGGUUUUAAAAACCCGCGCUACUACUAUGGCAUGUCCCAGGGGGCACGGUAGAGACCGCUUAGUAGUAGCGAGGGUUAAAAACCCGCGCUACUGCUAUAAACUUAGUAGUAGCGAGGUUUAAAAACCUGUGCUACUGGUAAGUAGCAGUAGCAAGGGUUUUUAACCCUCGCUACUAGUAACUUUCUGUGUAUAGGCUUUUCCCUAGUAGUGGUGGUCUCUAUUACGAGAAGUAUACCUGUUUUACAUACCAUCCCGCAGCCUACCCCUGGAGGGGGACAUGUUAAAUAGUCCCAUCCCUUGCUUAUCGCACUAUUUGUAUCGUUCUGCUUUCAUUGCAGUAUCUUUUGAAUAAACAAUAGAUAGCUUCGGCUUAUUAUUGCAUUCCUUUUUUUCCAUAAAUGUUCAUCUAUGACAUGUUGCACCCGUACAACUUGGUACGGUCAAUACACCAGGAGCUUAAGUACCCCAAAACAUGGUGUGAUAAGUCCGAACACUUUCACAAGUGCGGCACCCCGAACUUAUAGCAUUAUAUGCAUCGGCUCCGAAUCAUGUCUUGGGUCAAUAGUUGGGUUUGCCCGACUCCCAUGUUUUGGUACCUUACGUUCCGUUAUAUCGGCUAAGGUAGCGCUGGGAGAACCACUGUGAUUGUGCCCCAGUUGAGCUGGGUUGAGAACCUCAGUGGAGAAAGCUAAAACUGACCGUCAUGAUAGGGCGAGAGCCGGUCGCUGUUCGAGAGGUUUUUUGGGUCCCUAAAGACUCAUGCCGCUUAGAGCGAGGAGUCGGCAUUGUCCGGCCAAGCGUGGAUAGCGCCCCGAACUCGGUCUUCCGAAUACCAGGGGCGUCGCCGAAAUUUAAAAUUAUAGAAUUCUAUGGCUAAGUGAGAGUGUUCAAGCAUUAUAGUCCGGUUGCCUCGUUCGUCGUGUUGAACGCCUCCCUCGAAGGACCCAAGAAUGGGAACAAGAGCGCUCAAGUUUAUCCCGAACACCCCAGCACUCGUGGCAUGGGGGCUGAAGCCAACGACUCGCCAUCUCUCAAAUUUGAUAAACGGCCGCACAGAAGGUAAUAUUUUAAAUUAACAAGCAUUGCUUAGCACAUAUGAACAAAGUUUUCAGCGUACAGGAUAACAAAUGUUAGUCUACUCAAAAAUUACAUCUUUGGAGCAUUCACCCGCUAUAAGGCGGGCACCCUUCAGGACACCCUCAUAGUACAUCUUGGGCUUGCGUUACUCCUUCCCCGGCGGUGGCGCGUCCGUCACAAGCUGCUCGGCGUCCAUCUUGCCCCAGUGCACUUUAGCACGGGCAAGGGCCCGACGGGCACCUUUAAUGCAGAUGGAGCGCUUGAUGACUUCGAUCCAUGGACAGGCGUCCACCAGCUGCCGCACUAGACCGAAGUAGCUCCUAGGCAUGGCUUCUUUAGGCCACAACCGAACUAUGAGGCCCUUCAUGGCCUGUUCGGCCACCUUGUGGAGCUCGACCAGCUGCUUCAGCUGGUCGCUCAGGGGCACCGGAUGUCCGGCCUCAGCAUAUUGAGACCAGAACACCUUUUCCGUUGAGCUCCCCUCCUCGGCUCAGUAGUAUGUGGCAGCAUCGGACACACUACGGGGCAGAUCUGCGAACACUCCUGGAGAGCUCCGGAUUCGGGUAAGUAACAAAUAAUUCACUUUUACAUGCUUGCUUUGCAUAUAGAAUGCAUUACCGCCGCUAUCUUUUUUAUCGCCUCAAUCUCCUGGAGGGCCUUCUAGGCUUCGGCCUUAGCGGCUUUGGCACUCUCAAGAGCCAAGGCGAGCUCGGACUCUCGAGUCUUCGAGUCACGCUCCAAACUCUCAUGUUUUUCCACGAGAGCCUGGAGCUCUUGCCGCACCUCCGCCACCCGCGCCUCCUGCUUCUCUCGCUCGGUGCGCUCCGUGCCGCACUAUUUUCGGCCUUGGACACCGCUUCCUUCAGGGUCGCCACCUCGUUCGUGGCCCCUGCAAUACUCACGUUAUUCCUGUCAUUUUUUGCAACCAAAUCCUUUCUAUAAGGUAUUACUUUAAUAAGGUAUUACUUACCUUCCUUGUCCUCGAGCUGCUUCUUGGCAAGGCCGAGCUCGUUCUCGGACCGCUCAAGGCUCUCCUUCAAUGCAUUGACCUUCGCAGUCAGUGCGGUAGAGGUCAGCAGCGCAGCCUGCAUUCCCAUAUUGACAUAUUUAUGUUAGACUCCUGCGUAUAUCUUUUUAGAUCCUCAGCUCGGCUUUUCUUUCCGAACACCAAACUAAGCAUCAGGGGCUACUGUCUAUGCGGUAACAUUCUUACAUAUCUUAAAAACUUACCUCAAAGCCUGUUAGAAGGCUGGUACAGGCUUCAGUCAGCCCGCUCUUGGCGGACUGAACUUUCUGGAUCACCGCACUCAUGAUAAUGCGGUGCUCCUCGUCGAUGGAGGCACCAUUAAGCGCCUCCAGCAAGCUAUCUGGUGCCUUCGGUUGGACAGAGGCCACCGGCAUCGCAGUCUUGCCCUUCUUACGAAGGGGCCGCCUGCAGGACUCCGGAACCACUGAAGGUUCCGGUGCGGAGUUCGGCCCUGGGCCGGACUUAGAACCCCUUGGGGUUUGAUCCCCCUUAUGCCCAAAGUCCGGGAGGUUGCCUUGCGGCACCUCCGGGACCUCCUCCUCCUGGCUGGGCCCCUUUUGGGACCCCACCUCGGCGUCAUCAGCAGCGCAAGGAGAGGAGGCGGCCAGAAGUGAAGUGCUAUUCACGUCCGAUGGAGCCAGGGAGCCGCUCGUUGAAAUGUCGAGCCCGUCCUUGGGCGGGCUGCAGGGUUGUAUUCGGCGUUAGGAGAUUCUAUGCGACAAACGAAACGCCAUGAAUUAUUCUGGUAUCCAGACACUUACGAUGUCGCCAGGGGCUUAGCCCUCGGUGGACACUCCUCUUUGCCGUCGUCGGCAUUGGUGGAGUAGUCCGGAGGAAGGGUCCUUCCCUUCUUGGACCCUCCAGCCUCCCGAGUUGGGGAGGCCUUCCUUUUCUUCUCUCUCCCCGCUGGGGGAGAAGCCUUUUUUUCUCCUCCUCGUCUUCGCGGGAGGAGUCCGCCUCAGAGUCAUCGAACAAUGAGUCCGAUAACACCUGACGCCGGGAACUCUUUCGGGUUCCCGUGGCCUUCUUCUUGUCCUUCUUAUCCGGCACCAUGUGUGGUGCCGGAACCAGCAGCCCCGUCAAUCGGGUGUCCGCUGGGUCUUCUGGUGAGGGAGCCGGACAGUUAACCUGCCCGGACUUCUUCUGCCAGGCCUGUCAAAGGUAAGGGAGUUUAGAUCCCGCAUAGAGUCAAACUAUGAAAAACAAGUGUCCUGUAAAGGGUAAAAUAGCUUACCUCGCCGGCUUGCUGCUGCGAGCUGAAUCCGCGAUCUUCGGUAGCGGUGCGGGAGCCUUGACGCCCUUGAACAACACCUUCCAGGCAUCUUCGUACGUAGUGUCGAAGAGCCUGCUCAAGGUUUGGUGUUGUGCCGGAUCAAACUCCCACAAGUUGAAGGCCCAUUGUUGGCACGGGAGGAUCCGGUGGAUGAGCAUGACCUGGACUACGUUGACGAGCUUGAUCUUCUUGUUCACAAGGUUUUGGACGCA